This 845-nucleotide unclassified non-coding RNA is filed under the name Drosophila mojavensis. Its description in RNAcentral is "GI18428". The record is from RNAcentral. Lineage: Eukaryota; Metazoa; Arthropoda; Insecta; Diptera; Drosophilidae.
GGCCAAGAACGUUAUUUUGACUGAGACCAAAAUUGAUGCCACAGUAUGUAAAACUUUUGAUUGAUUAUCCCAUAAACAGUUUCCCAAUUAGCUGAAAACCUAAAUAAAUAUCAAAGUGACAACUAAAAUUUAAUCAAAAUAGAAUCCAGAGAUCCUCAAGAUGGCCCAGUCCAACAGCAUGCCUGAUGACAAGUUUCUGUGGGAUGUAUUUCAGCGCAUUGACAAGAACAAGAGCGGCUUUAUUUCCGCCGAUGAACUGCAGGUGGCGCUUUCGAAUGGCACUUGGUCGGCCUUCAAUCCAGAAACAGUGCGACUGAUUAUUGGCAUGUUCGAUCACGAGUACCGAGGCACAGUUUCCUUUCGGGACUUUGGAGCAUUGUGGAAGUACGUGACCGAUUGGCAACAUUGUUUUCGCUCAUUUGAUACCGACAAUUCCGGCUAUAUCGAUAGGCAAGAACUGAAAAGUGCGCUCAGCACAUUUGGAUAUCGCCUAACAGAUCGUCUAAUUGAAAUCCUAUUACACAAAUUCGAUCGAUUCGGCCGGGGAAAUAUUCUAUUUGACGACUUCAUACAAUGUUGCAUUGUGCUGCACACGCUGACAACUUUGUUCAAGUCACACGAUACUGAUAUGAAGGGUGUCAUUACCAUAAACUAUGAACAGUUCCUCCGAAUGGUAUUGGCACUUAAAAUAUGACAGGGGUAUUUGUGCUCAAUUGAGGAAUUAAAGGGGUUUAUCAAAGCUGACUGGUAGAAAUAUAAAAUGGCCUACUUUUGGGCAGGUCUUUAUCGGAGUCUUAAAUGAGAGAUGCUCAGGCCAUUAUGAAGGAAGCAAGGCAAGUCGAAAC